RNAcentral lists this ribosomal RNA (797 nucleotides) under uncultured Pelagibacteraceae bacterium. Its description in RNAcentral is "bacterial SSU rRNA". It matches the Rfam family "Bacterial small subunit ribosomal RNA", at positions 41 to 886 of the family's 1533-position model. Lineage: Bacteria; Pseudomonadati; Pseudomonadota; Alphaproteobacteria; Candidatus Pelagibacterales; Candidatus Pelagibacteraceae. The record is from RNAcentral.
GGCACGCCUAACACAUGCAAGUCGAACGCAGUAGCAAUACUGAGUGGCAAACGGGUGAGUAUAAUGUGGGAAUCUGCCUUUUGGUUUGGAAUAACACGGGGAAACUUGUGCUAAUACCAAAUAAGCCUUUACAGGGAAAGUUUUAACGCCGAAAGAUGAGCCCGCACUUGAUUAGCUAGUUGGUAAGGUAAAAGCUUACCAAGGCAACGAUCAAUAGCUGUUCUUAGAGGAAGACCAGCCACAUUGGGACUGAGACACGGCCCAGACUCCUACGGGAGGCAGCAGUGGGGAAUCUUGCACAAUGGGGGAAACCCUGAUGCAGCGAUGCCGCGUGAGUGAAGAAGGCCUUUGGGUUGUAAAACUCUUUCGUCGGGGAAGAAAAUGACUGUACCCGAAUAAGAAGGUCCGGCUAACUUCGUGCCAGCAGCCGCGGUAAUACGAAGGGACCUAGCGUAGUUCGGAAUUACUGGGCUUAAAGAGCUCGUAGGUGGUUAAAAAAGUUGAUGGUGAAAUCCCAAGGCUUAACCUUGGAACUGCCAUCAAAACUUUUUAGCUAGAGUGUGAUAGAGGUAAGUGGAAUUUCUAGUGUAGAGGUGAAAUUCGUAGAUAUUAGAAAGAACACCAAAUGCGAAGGCAACUUACUGGGUCACUACUGACACUGAGGAGCGAAAGCAUGGGUAGCGAAGAGGAUUAGAUACCCUCGUAGUCCAUGCCGUAAACGAUGUGUGCUAGACGUUGGAAAUAUAUUUUUCAGUGUCGCAGCGAAAGCAUUAAGCACACCGCCUGGGGAGUACGAC